GUUUGAUUAUGGCUCAGGAUGAACGCUAGCUACAGGCUUAACACAUGCAAGUCGAGGGGCAGCAUGAGGAUGUGCUUGCACAACUUGAUGGCGACCGGCGCACGGGUGAGUAACGCGUAUCCAACCUUCCCUAUACUAGAGAAUAGCCCGGCGAAAGUCGGAUUAAUGCUCUAUGUUCUUCUUUGAUGGCACCUGACGAGAAGCAAAGGUUUACCGGUAUAGGAUGGGGAUGCGUCUGAUUAGGUUGUUGGCGGGGUAACGGCCCACCAAGCCUACGAUCAGUAGGGGUUCUGAGAGGAAGGUCCCCCACAUUGGUACUGAGACACGGACCAAACUCCUACGGGAGGCAGCAGUGAGGAAUAUUGGUCAAUGGGCGAGAGCCUGAACCAGCCAAGUAGCGUGCAGGAUGACUGCCCUAUGGGUUGUAAACUGCUUUUAUAGGGGAAUAAAGUGAGGUAUGCAUACCUUUUUGUAUGUACCCUAUGAAUAAGGACCGGCUAAUUCCGUGCCAGCCGCGGC
Molecule: ribosomal RNA, 519 nt
Filed under: uncultured bacterium
Lineage: Bacteria
Description: bacterial SSU rRNA
Rfam family: Bacterial small subunit ribosomal RNA
Source: RNAcentral